Molecule: ribosomal RNA, 110 nt
Filed under: uncultured bacterium
Lineage: Bacteria
Description: partial 16S ribosomal RNA
Rfam family: Bacterial small subunit ribosomal RNA
Source: RNAcentral
CCCGGGUCUUGUACACACCGCCCGUCACACCAUGGGAGCGGGUUCUGCCAGAAGUAGUUAGCCUAACCGUAAGGAGGGCGAUUACCACGGCAGGGUUCGUGACUGGGGUG